AAAUCUACUCUGGUUGUAGUUGUCAGUAGCUCGUUGCAGCUCCUCUUCAGUAAAUAGAUUUGACUUUUUACCUCUUCCAAAAUAUGAGAGCCUUUGUUGCAACAAGAAGCCACCAUUUCGCUCGAAGAAUCUGUCUUUACGAAUUCUGUGUCUUCUAUUCUUUAGGAAUUUAUAUAACUUGUAACUGAAAAGGAAUAAAAAUAGCAGUCCG
This 211-nucleotide unclassified non-coding RNA is filed under the name Hevea brasiliensis (rubber tree). The record is from RNAcentral. Lineage: Eukaryota; Viridiplantae; Streptophyta; Magnoliopsida; Malpighiales; Euphorbiaceae.